GACAUCCACGGAACCGUUAUGGAAACGAUAGGGGUGCCUUCGGGAGCCGUGAGACAGGUGCUGCAUGGCUGUCGUCAGCUCGUGUCGUGAGAUGUUGGUUAAGUCCCGCAACGAGCGCAACCCUUGUCUUUAAUUGCCAUCAUUAAGUUGGGGCACUUUAAAGAGACUGCCGGUGUUAAGCCGGAGGAAGGUGGGGAUGACGUCAAGUCCUCAUGGCCUUUAUGUCCAGGGCUACACACGUGCUACAAUGGGUGGUACAAAGAGCUGCAAACUCGCGAGAGCAAGCUAAUCUCAAAAACCAUCCUCAGUUCGGAUUGGAGUCUGCAACUCGACUCCAUGAAGUUGGAAUCGCUAGUAAUCGCGGAUCAGCAUGCCGCGGUGAAUACGUUCCCAGGCCUU
Molecule: ribosomal RNA, 399 nt
Filed under: uncultured Syntrophus sp.
Lineage: Bacteria; Pseudomonadati; Thermodesulfobacteriota; Syntrophia; Syntrophales; Syntrophaceae
Description: bacterial SSU rRNA
Rfam family: Bacterial small subunit ribosomal RNA
Source: RNAcentral